AGUGUGAAAUGGAUAAUCGCGAUUUAUCGAGGAAAGUCCGGACUCCACAGAGCAAAGAGCUGGGUAACUCCCAGGCAAGUAAUUGACGGAUAGUGCAACAGAAAACAAACCGCUUAUGAAAAUAAGUAAGGGUGAAAAGGUGGUGUAAGAGACCACCAGUAAUUUGAGUAAUCAGAUUAGCUUGUAAACCCCUCUUGGAGCAAUACUAAGAAGCAAUUAGCCUGCUCGGUUAAUAAUUGUGGGUAAGUAGCUAGAUGUAUUUGGUAACAAGUACACAAGAUGGAUGAUUAUCAUACGUUUUUCGUAUACAGAAUCCGGCUUAUAGUUUCACAAAAACU
This 338-nucleotide RNase P RNA is filed under the name Acidimicrobiaceae bacterium. Its description in RNAcentral is "RNase P RNA component class A". It matches the Rfam family "Bacterial RNase P class A". From Rfam's summary of the family: Ribonuclease P (RNase P) is a ubiquitous endoribonuclease, found in archaea, bacteria and eukarya as well as chloroplasts and mitochondria. Lineage: Bacteria; Bacillati; Actinomycetota; Acidimicrobiia; Acidimicrobiales; Acidimicrobiaceae. RNAcentral also lists the same sequence under 1 other name. The record is from RNAcentral.